GUUGACCUCGGAUCAGGUAGGAAUACCCGCUGAACUUAAGCAUAUCAAUAAGCGGAGGAA
RNAcentral lists this ribosomal RNA (60 nucleotides) under Sarocladium strictum. Its description in RNAcentral is "partial 28S ribosomal RNA". It matches the Rfam family "Eukaryotic large subunit ribosomal RNA", at positions 1 to 58 of the family's 3401-position model. Lineage: Eukaryota; Fungi; Ascomycota; Sordariomycetes; Hypocreales; Sarocladiaceae. The record is from RNAcentral. RNAcentral also lists the same sequence under 48 other names.